This 1499-nucleotide ribosomal RNA is filed under the name uncultured bacterium. RNAcentral describes it as "16S ribosomal RNA". It matches the Rfam family "Bacterial small subunit ribosomal RNA". The record is from RNAcentral.
AACGAACGCUGGCGGCGUGGAUUAGGCAUGCAAGUCGAACGAUGAGGAGGUCUUCGGAUCUCCAUCAGUGGCGCACGGGUGAGUAACGCGUGAGAAACCUGCCCCCGGGACCGGGAUAACCCUUCGAAAGGGGGGCUAAUACCGGGCAAUGUAUACCGCUUCAUGGCGGGAUACCAGAGGAUAGCCUAUCCUUGGAAGCUAUCGCCUGGGGAGGGUCUCGCGUCCCAUUAGCUUGUUGGUAGGGUAACGGCCUACCAAGGCGACGAUGGGUAGCCGACCUGAGAGGGUGACCGGCCACACUGGGACUGAGACACGGCCCAGACUCCUACGGGAGGCAGCAGUCGAGAAGCUUUGGCAAUGGGGGAAACCCUGACCAUGCGACGCCGCGUGAGCGAUGAAGGUCUUCGGAUCGUAAAGCUCUGUCAGACGGGACGAAAGCUACACUGGUUAAUAGCCGGUGUGGAUUGACGGUACCGUCAAAGGAAGCCCCGGCCAACUCCGUGCCAGCAGCCGCGGUAAUACGGAGGGGGCGAGCGUUGUUCGGAAUUACUGGGCGUAAAGGGCGCGUAGGCGGUUGGAUAAGUUAGAUGUGAAAGCCCCGGGCUUAACCUGGGAAUUGCGUUUAAAACUGUCCAACUUGAGUUCAGGAGGGGAGAGUGGAAUUCCUGGUGAAGCGGUGAAAUGUGUAGAUAUCGGGAAGAACACCGGUGGCGAAGGCGGCUCUCUGGACUGUGACUGACGCUGAGGCGCGAAAGCUGGGGGAGCGAACGGGAUUAGAUACCCCGGUAGUCCCAGCCGUAAACGAUGGACACUAGGUGUAGGGAGUGCUCUAACUCUCUGUGCCGCAGCUAACGCAUUAAGUGUCCCGCCUGGGGAGUACGGCCGCAAGGCUGGAACUCAAAGGAAUUGACGGGGGCCCGCACAAGCGGUGGAGCAUGUGGCUCAAUUCGAUGCAACGCGAAGAACCUUACCGGGGUUUGAAGUGCACCUGUAAGCGUUGGGAAACCUGCGCCUUCCGGUCUUUCGAUUGGACAGGUGUAGAGGUGCUGCAUGGCUGUCGUCAGCUCGUGUCGUGAGAUGUUGGGUUAAGUCCCGCAACGAGCGCAACCCCCGUCCUUAGUUACCAGUCCCGGCCUUCGGGUCGGGAGGGACUCUAAGGAGACUGCCCCGGAUAACGCGUGGAGGAAGGAGGGGAUGACGUCAAGUCAUCAUGGCCUUUAUGUCCCGGGCUGCACACGUGCUACAAUGGUCUGAACAGAGGGUUGCGAUACCGUGAGGUGGAGCUAAUCCCGGAAAUCAGGCCUCAGUUCGGAUUGGAGUCUGCAACUCGACUCCAUGAAGUUGGAAUCGCUAGUAAUCGCGGAUCAGCAAUGCCGCGGUGAAUACGUUCCCGGGCCUUGUACACACCGCCCGUCACACCACCCGAGUUGGGUGCACCCGAAGUCGCCGUCUCAACCGUAAGGGGAGAAGCGCCUAAGGUGUGCUUGGUAAGGGGGGUG